AGCGGUAAGGCCCCUUCGGGGGUACACGAGCGGCGAACGGGUGAGUAACACGUGAGCAAUCUACCCAUCACAUCGGGAUAACUCCGGGAAACCGAAGCUAAUACCGAAUACGACCACCUCAGGCAUCUGAUGGUGGUGGAAAGUUCCGGCGGUGAUGGAUGAGCUCGCGGCCUAUCAGCUUGUUGGUGGGGUAACGGCCCACCAAGGCUUCGACGGGUAGCCGGCCUGAGAGGGUGACCGGCCACACUGGGACUGAGACACGGCCCAGACUCCUACGGGAGGCAGCAGUGGGGAAUAUUGGACAAUGGGCGAAAGCCUGAUCCAGCAACGCCGCGUGAGGGAUGACGGCCUUCGGGUUGUAAACCUCUUUCAGCAGGGACGAAGCGAAAGUGACGGUACCUGCAGAAGAAGCACCGGCCAACUACGUGCCAGCAGCCGCGGUAAUACGUAGGGUGCGAGCGUUGUCCGGAAUUAUUGGGCGUAAAGGGCUCGUAGGCGGUCUGUCGCGUCGGGAGUGAAAACUCAGGGCUUAACCCUGAGCCUGCUUCCGAUACGGGCAGACUAGAGGUAUGCAGGGGAGAAUGGAAUUCCUGGUGUAGCGGUGAAAUGCGCAGAUAUCAGGAGGAACACCGGUGGCGAAGGCGGUUCUCUGGGCAUUACCUGACGCUGAGGAGCGAAAGUGUGGGGAGCGAACAGGAUUAGAUACCCUGGUAGUCCACACCGUAAACGUUGGGCGCUAGGUGUGGGACUCAUUCCACGAGUUCCGUGCCGCAGCUAACGCAUUAAGCGCCCCGCC
This 796-nucleotide ribosomal RNA is filed under the name Marmoricola sp. RNAcentral describes it as "bacterial SSU rRNA". It matches the Rfam family "Bacterial small subunit ribosomal RNA", at positions 65 to 873 of the family's 1533-position model. The record is from RNAcentral. Lineage: Bacteria; Bacillati; Actinomycetota; Actinomycetes; Propionibacteriales; Nocardioidaceae.